GACGAACGCUGGCGGCGUGCUUAACACAUGCAAGUCGAACGGAAAGGCCGGGCUUUGGGGGGCAGGUGGAGUUGCGAAGGGGGGAGUAACACGUAGGUACGCUGCCCUUGACUUUGGGGGAACUUCAGGAAGCUGAGGCUCAUAGCGGCUAGGAGCUCUCGCCGCAUGGUGGGGCUGGGAAAGAUUCGGCGGUUGGGGAUGGACUAGCGGCUUAUCAGCUUGUUCGUGUGGUAGUGGCUUAGCAAGGCUAUGACGGGUAGCCGGCCUGCGCGGGUGACCGGCCCCCUUGCGCCUGAGCUGCGGCCCAGCCUCCUCUGCUAGGCAGGAGUGGGGUAUGUUGCACUAUGCGCGGAACCCUGAUGCAGCCACGCCGCGUCGGGGAUGAGGGCCUUCGGGUUGUAUUCCGCUUUCGCCUGUGCCGAAGCGUUAGUGACGGUACUGGGUAAAGAAGCACCGGCUAACUACGUG
Molecule: ribosomal RNA, 468 nt
Filed under: uncultured bacterium
Lineage: Bacteria
Description: partial 16S ribosomal RNA
Rfam family: Bacterial small subunit ribosomal RNA
Source: RNAcentral